This 235-nucleotide unclassified non-coding RNA is filed under the name Hevea brasiliensis (rubber tree). The record is from RNAcentral. Lineage: Eukaryota; Viridiplantae; Streptophyta; Magnoliopsida; Malpighiales; Euphorbiaceae.
GUUGACAAGGCGAAAGUUGAAAUCAUUGAAAAGAUGCUACCACCAACAUCAGUCAAAGGAGUACGAAGCUUUUUGAGACAUGCAGGCUUCUACAGAAGAUUCAUUAAAGAUUUUUCCAAAAUAGCUAAGCCACUUACCAACCUGUUAAGUCAAGAUGUUCCCUUUCAUUUUGAUAAAAAUUGCCUUGUUUCUUUUAACAGGAUCAAAGAAGCCCUGAUCUCAGCACCAAUAAUGC